RNAcentral lists this ribosomal RNA (104 nucleotides) under uncultured bacterium. RNAcentral's name for it is "partial 16S ribosomal RNA". It matches the Rfam family "Bacterial small subunit ribosomal RNA", at positions 1379 to 1482 of the family's 1533-position model. The record is from RNAcentral.
CCCUGUACACACCGCCCGUCACACCAUGGGAGCGGGUUCUGCCAGAAGUAGUUAGCCUAACCGCAAGGAGGGCGAUUACCACGGCAGGGUUCGUGACUGGGGUG